Salmo salar (Atlantic salmon) is the source of this 72-nucleotide non-coding RNA. Lineage: Eukaryota; Metazoa; Chordata; Actinopteri; Salmoniformes; Salmonidae. The record is from Rfam.
UCCCGUGUGGCUCAGUUGGUAGAGCAUGGUGUUUGCAACACCAGGGUUGUGGGUUUGAUUCCCACAGGGGAC